RNAcentral lists this ribosomal RNA (398 nucleotides) under uncultured bacterium. Its description in RNAcentral is "bacterial SSU rRNA". It matches the Rfam family "Bacterial small subunit ribosomal RNA", at positions 359 to 776 of the family's 1533-position model. The record is from RNAcentral.
GUAUUGCCCAAUGGGGGAAACCUUGAUGCAGCGACGCCGCGUGAGCGAAGAAGUAUUUCGGUAUGUAAAGCUCUAUCAGCAGGGAAGAAAAUGACGGUAGUUGACUAAGAAGCUCCGGCUAAAUACGUGCAAGCAGCCGCGGUAAUACGUAUGGAGCAAGCGUUAUCCGGAUUUACUGGGUGUAAAGGGAGCGUAGGCGGCCUGGCAAGUCUGGUGUGAAAUACCGGGGCCCAACCACGGGACUGCAUUGGAAACUGCCAGGCUGGAGUGUCGGAGAGGCAGGCGGAAUUCCUAGUGUAGCGGUGAAAUGCGUAGAUAUUAGGAGGAACACCGGUGGCGAAGGCGGCCUGCUGGACGACAACUGACGCUGAGGCUCGAAAGCGUGGGGAGCAAACAGG